GCAAAUCAAUAUAAAUUGAUUAGUAUUUAUUUAUUAAUUUAUGUUUUUUAAAAAAUGAUUUAUUAAAAAUAAUUAUUUAAUUUAAUGUUUUAGUAAUUUUUAAUGAAAAAAUAAUAUUAAUAAUAGUGCAUUAUGUAUUGUAAAAGGUUAUUGAAAUAUCUUGAAAAAUUUUUAUAGAAAAAGAAAUUUUAAUUUAUUGUACCUUGUGUGUCAGGGUUUAUUAAAUAAUUAAUAAUUAUUUUUAUUAAUCUCGAUUUUAAAAGAGUUAAUAAUUUAUAAAAGUUAAUGUGCCAAAAUUAUUUUUAAUAAAUUAUUAGAAAUGAAAUAUUAUUCGUUUAUAAAGGUAUCUAGUUUUUUUAGAAAUAAAUUUAAUUUACAAAUUUUUAAUCUUUUAUUUAUUUAUUUAAUUUAAAUAAUUAUUAAUUUGAAUAUCUUAAGGGAUAAGCUUUAAAAUAGAUUAUUAAAAAUUAAUAAAUGUUAUUAAAAAUGUAUGUGUAGAAUUAGCAAUCAUUUAUAAAUUUGUUAUAAAUUAUUUUAUAUUGUAUAUUAUUUAUUAUAUUUUAAUUUGUUUUAUAAAAAUUUUUUUAUAAAUAAUUAAUGAAAAGUGAUAAUGAUAAAAUUAGUAUAUAAAUGUAACUGUUUUAGUAAUUUUAUAUGAUAAGUUUAUAUAAAGAACUCGGCAAAUUAAUACACUCGCCUGUUUAACAAAAACAUGUCUUUUUGAGUUAUUUUAAAAGUCUAACCUGCCCAAUGAAUAAAUUUGAAUGGCCGCAGUAUUCUAACUGUGCAAAGGUAGCAUAAUCAUUAGUCUUUUAAUUGAAGGCUGGUAUGAAUGGUUGGACGAAGUGUAAUCUGUUUCAUAUAAAUUUAUAAUAGAAUUUUAUAUUUUAGUUAAAAAGCUAAAAUUUUAUUAAAAGACGAGAAGACCCUAUAAAUCUUUAUAUUUAUUAUUAUUUUUGUUUUUUUGAUAAGGUUUACUUUUAUAAUAAUUAAUAUUUUGUUGGGGUGAUAUUAAAAUUUAAUGAACUUUUAAUUAUUUAAAAUCAUUUAUUUAUGAGUUGUUGAUCCAUUAAUAGUGAUUAUAAGAUUAAGUUACUUUAGGGAUAACAGCGUAAUUUUUUUGGAGAGUUCUUAUCGAUAAAAAAGUUUGCGACCUCGAUGUUGGAUUAAGAGAUAUUUUUAGGUGUAGCUGCUUAAAUGUGAAGUCUGUUCGACUUU
RNAcentral lists this ribosomal RNA (1218 nucleotides) under Esacidia kuwayamai. RNAcentral's name for it is "partial 16S ribosomal RNA". The record is from RNAcentral. Lineage: Eukaryota; Metazoa; Arthropoda; Insecta; Diptera; Tephritidae.